Molecule: long non-coding RNA, 773 nt
Organism: Rhagoletis zephyria (snowberry fruit fly)
Lineage: Eukaryota; Metazoa; Arthropoda; Insecta; Diptera; Tephritidae
Source: RefSeq, a predicted model, not a curated record
UUCUUGAAUAAUUUUGUAGAGCAAAUAUUUGCAAAGAAAUUGCAAACAUUAAAUUGCACUGCCGUGAAAAUUCGCAGUGAGAAAUCGGCUGGAGGUGAGCAAAGUGAAUAUUGAAAGCGAAGCCAGUGCGUGAGAAAAGCCAAUAAAGUGGAUUCAAGUAUAGCCUAAUUCGAGGCAUCGCAAAAUUGACAAAAUAAAAACAUUGUAGUGAAGAAAGAGAAACAAUAAGAAAGUAUGAACAUAUACUAUGUAAAAAAGACUUCAUCAAAACGCCUGUAUGUAUAAUUAUAAAGCCGUACAGUUAUUUAAAGUGAUCAAAAAAAAAACACACACAGAACAAGCCAGUGUAUUCGACGAUUAAAAUUCUAAAACUGUAACCACAACGAAUUGACGAAGAAAAAGCUAGAUAAAACAAGUGCAAAAAUCAAAUUAAAAAAAAAAACAAAAACAACAAAAAAUAUUAUAAAACAGCAGUGAAAACGUUAAGUUGCUAUCCUAACCGAAAAGCAAGUCAGCCCGUUUAACAUAGCGCAGUAAACAUACUCACACAUUCAUAUGUACUUAAGUAUGCAUUCGAACGUACAUACGUAUAUAGUCCUGUUGCGAAAAUCCUCCUAAGUAAUCUCCGAUUUGUUAUGGCUACCCGUUUCAAGUACUCGAAUCCGCAUACAUAAACACCAGGUUUAUUCGUGACAACGUUACAUUUUUUAUAAGCCACGUCCACGCGUCUGCAUUUGGUGCCUUUGCGUUAUUGUUAUUAGUGCGUGCGUGUU